GCCAGGCCGAGGGACCCCACCGGUGCAUACAUCGGUGCACCAGGCCUCUAUUUUAGAAUAACAAGUAUUUGUCCUUUAUUAGUAAAGAUGACUAAAUAUGAUUUAUUUCCUUUUGGUCAUUCCUGCUCUGAACUGCCUUUAGCCUUACACUACAUAGGCCAUGAUGCUUCCAGACUACUUCUAAGAUGCAAAAUGUAGUUUAGAUAGGUGAAAAUUUAUAUGUUGGUUUACUUAGUUGAGCUCUUUUGGUAUAAGCCACUGAGAUACUAGGAAGCUCUCAGUGAGCACAAACCACCGCAGAGAUGCUGCAUACCUAGAAACAGCUUUCCAGACUGGACAGAGAGCUUGUGAUCAGCCUGUCAGGAUAUGCUUUGUAUAAAGUUCGAGUUUGUUGAGCUAAAUGGUCCACAGUCUUAAACAAAAUGCUGUGACCUACUUUCUUUUGGAGGUGAUGGUGGAGGAGAAUAUAAAAGAGACUAUUUUCAUGUUUAUAUUUGUGGUAUAGUAUUAGAAAAUUGUCAGGCAAUUCCCACCUGAUAAAGAUCCCACAUCAACUGUCAUUUAUGAUUUGUAUUAAAAAGGCAUAAAAAAGACAAAUGUUUUUAUCUUUUUCUUCCUUUGGUACCUAGGUUUACUCUUGAGGAUAAAAUAUUUUGAAAAUAGUUCUGUGUCUCCAGGUGGUAGUCCUUCGCUUUGCAUGUGUUACCUCUCUAACCACCCAGAGUUAGGAGAUGAACGGGGGGUUCACACUCUAAUGAAGAAGGUGCAGCAUGCCUGUGUGCUUUUUGUUUAGGCCAGUUGUCGGCAAACUGCAGUUCGCGAGCCACAUGCGGAUCUUUGGCCCCUUGAGUGUGGCUCUUCCACAAAAUACCGACUUCUGCGCAUGGGCCAUGAAGUUUCAAUCGCACUGUACGUGUGUGCCCGCAUGUGGUAUUUUGUGGAAGAGCCACACUCAAGGGGCCAAAGAGCCGCAUGUGGCUCGUGAGCCGCAGUUUGCCGACCACUGGUUUAGGCUCACAGGGAUUUAGUAAUUGACUUUGUCUUGGCUUUCUUAUUUAUAAUUGAAAUCCUGAGCACAGCCACAGAGUAUAAUUUGGGUUGUGAGGAUGGACUUUUGUAUAUGUUGUUGGUGUUAGGAAGUAUAUCUUUUGCCUUUCUUCUUGUUCAGUUCUGUGGAAUUUACAUUUCAAUGUUUUCAUAUUUUUAUAAGGGUUUGCAAAAUAAUUUAGCCCAAACUCUUGUUGGGAUGUAGUUGGGAUGCAGAUUACCUGCCCUAGACUUAAAACUAUUGUGACUGAGGUGGAGAGGUAAUCUCAGAAUCAAAAAGAGACAGCAGCUAUUUGUUCCAGAUGAAGGGGCCAAUGAUUGAGAAUUAACAUUCUUGAACAAUGAUACAAGAAAGGGUAACUUUGACUUGGACAUUUUUAAAUAGAGAGGGGAAUGGGUUUUUUGUUUGGAUAGAAAAGUAUUCAGAACAAAACAAAGUAGUUUCUUUAUACAGGAAAUAAGUCAUUUUGUAUCUUCAUUAUUGAUUGGAAAUUAUACUGUAAGUUUUUUAAAGACAUGUUUUAGUUUCUUGGAGAAGUAGUUCCUGAAGGUGUAUUUUGGUUAUUAUAUGAAUAAAGUCAAAUAAAUUUGGGAAGUGUCGGGUUAGACCAGCCGUGGGCAAACUACAGCCCGCGGGCCGGAUCCGGCCUGUUUGAAAUGAAUAAAACUAUUGAAAAAAAAGAGCGUACCCUUUUAUGUAAUGAUGUUUACUUUGAAUUUAUAUUAGUUCACACAAACACUCCAUCCAUGCUUUUGUUCCGGCCCUCCGGUCCAGUUUAAGAACCCAUUGUGGCCCUCGAGUUAAAAGUUUGCCCACCCUUGGGUUAGACAAAGUUAAGUUACUGCAGGCCUUUCAGAACCUUUGGUAUGCUAUUGUGUGGUUUCAAUCUCCAAGAAGUACCUGUAUCUUAUUUUUGUGUGGAUUUCUUUAAAUAGGUGUUUUGUGAGAUUUGUGUUCUGAGAAAUACACUUAGGGAAAUGCUGCCCUAGAGUGUUUUGGGUGUUUGUGUUCACUGCGAAGGUUUCCCAUUGGUGUCCCUCUGGUGAAUGGUGGCACAUGGGAAGAGACAGGUCAAGACUCCCUUGGCCCGUAAAUUGAGAGAUGGGUGGCUACAGGUGUGCUGGUUGGUUAGGUAGGCACAUGGUAGACCCAUGGCCAGACGAGCGCCACUUUCCCUAGAAUCCCAGUCGGCUUGUGAACUGGUGGUUUCAGAAAACUAACCACUUCAUAGGCAUCUAGGAGACAGAGGGAAUCAACUUGGAAUUCCAGAACAAUCGUCCAAACCGUUUUUAUAGCACUAAAGUCACAUACAAGCUGGUUAUUUUAUAUAUAUAUAAAAAUAUGUACACACAUAAGUAUGUAUACACAUGCACAUACUAGCAUAUAAGUAUGUGUAUACACACACACACACACACACACACACACACACGCACAGUGUCCUAGAAAGUUUAGUUGCUUUAAGAACAAAGCAAAGGAAGGUUAAUGUUUUCAAGUUCUGAUAGACAUUCCCGAAGACAGUCUAAACAUGAAUUGUAUAUUUUUUGGCAUGAGGGUUUAUAGUUCUUAUUAAAUUCUCAGCAGUUUCUAUAUCCCCCAAAUUUUAAACCUCACUAGCCUCCACAUUGCAGAGGACUAAGUAUGUUUAAUUUCAUUUCCAGUAUAAAACCAGAUUACUCGUCAGGUACAAGGAUGCUUUUGUCUGUCUUCUGUAGUGUGUACAGUUGCAGAUUCGGAACACCUGCAAUGCUUUGGAGUGCAUUUGAUGGAAAGCUUGCCUUUGGGUUUUGAGUUGUGUAAUGGGGAACAUCUAGCCAUGUGAAAAGCAGUUGAACCUUUGUUCUGAUUCUUCAGCUUUCCUCAUGCAAAGUCAGAGAAAUGCCUUUUAAUCAUUGAGUUUAUAUAUCCCAGAUCCUUGGAGAUCAAGGAAAAUGACGUGCCAGAAUUUGCAUCAGUGCUUAGCGAGUCCUGAACUACAGAGAAGGUAGUGCUGGCCUUUCAUUCUUUGCACUGUUGGCUCCUUUUGCAUUGCUGGCAUCUUUAUUUCUUGGCAAAGGAAAGGUGUACUCAAGCUUUUAUGUUAAUUACAUAAAGAUGAGUUUUAUUUCUCUUUUGAUUUUAUGUCUUAUUUUGUAAAAUAGGAAAUAAUGUCUUUCCAUUUUUCUGUUUGUCUUGAAGUGGAAAUUUGAGGUGUUUGGAUGUAACUUUAGCUUUCUGGAAGAAGGACAGCAGAGAAGAUGAGUAAGAAAUAUAUGUGUGUACAUAAUUAUUGGCUUUGAUCCACCAAGCUUAUCUUUGAAUGGUAAACAUUUUAAAUAUCAGUUCCAGUACAAAUACUAUGGUUUUGUUAUAAACAAUCUUAAAAUAAGCAAUUUUGGUCAUAAUUUCAAUAUUCUAGCUUUGUCUAGUGUGAGUAUGUUUUACUCAGAGACAAUAUAUAAAUGCCCAGAAUUGGUGAUGAAGAUAAUGUUGUAAAGAAUUUAUUCUGAUAAAUGAGAAACUGGAUAUAAUGUCAAAAUAGCUGUUUUCACAAUAAAAUCUCAAAUUGCCUGGAUGUUUAUUAAA
Molecule: long non-coding RNA, 3610 nt
Organism: Myotis daubentonii (Daubenton's bat)
Lineage: Eukaryota; Metazoa; Chordata; Mammalia; Chiroptera; Vespertilionidae
Exons: 2
Source: RefSeq, a predicted model, not a curated record